UAGCUUUUGAUUGGUUGUUAUUGAUACGACAGUGUCGAAUUGUUAUACUUAUAUUAAUUAUUACCGACCUUAUAUCACAACGAUACUUUCCUGACCCAUGAAAACAUUACAGACACUCACAAAAUGAAGGCUUUCCUAGUUCUUGCAGUUUUGAUAAGUCUAUCAGUGCGCACCGAAUGUUUUUUAUUCGGUGACAUCGCCUGUACCAUUCUACCAGCCACAUGUAGUAGUCACCUUACGAAUAUCACCCAAUCCAGUACAUGCACUGAAAAGAGGCCUUAUUUCAAAUGUUUACAGGAUAACAACUGUAACUCGGGUACGGUUUAUUCAGCUCAGGUCACAGCUUUUGAUUAUGGAAAAUGUGGUGCAGCUGGACUCCUGAUUUCCUCCACCCUACUAAUCGUCAUGACAAUAUUUGCCAAAUUAUUCUCCAACUAAAAUCCACCAUGGACCAAUAAACGUGUAUAAGACAAUAAUUAUACGUCCCCGCCAUUGUGCCUACGUCACCGAGUGUUCCCUGUAACCUUCUAUCUUGAAAUGUACAUUUCUCGUACCAUCCUUUUUUUCCUAAUCAGAUUAAAACACAGAUCCUAUUUCGUUUCGUUUUUAUAGUUCAAAAUUUCGUUUGACUUGUCUUUACUACACUAGGAUCUGUAAGAGUUGUUAUCAUAGACGUGUUCUGAAUGGUGUGAGGGCUUAAUCAAUGAAACGGUCUGUUACGGCUAGCUUUAGGCGUGUUUUGCACGGAACUGAGGGUAAUCCAUUAUUAACAUCAAUGCUGAUUAGUUAAUCAAAUAUCUGACGUCAUAGGGUCAAAAGCCACUCGUAUGACAUCGGAAGCGACCUCUCGUUACAACCGGUCAGAUCUUCAUGAUUGUAAUGUAGGCCAUCGAAAGUAUAAAAAAAAACGAAACGAAAUAUAGAUCUAUCUUUUAAUCAGAUUGAUUUUUUCCCUGAUGAAUUAUUAUAUUUUAAAAUAUCUGUUAUAUUGUACAUACUUCUAUUUUCUAGUUCCAAUGACAUGUAGUUAUAAAACAUGCAUGUGUAUUUGCUAUUUUAAAUCAAUUAAUUAACAAAAUAAAGUCUUCCGGUUAUU
Patella vulgata (common limpet) is the source of this 1096-nucleotide long non-coding RNA. RefSeq lists it as uncharacterized. The record is from RefSeq and is a predicted model, not a curated record. The transcript is spliced from 4 exons. NCBI's taxonomy places the organism in Eukaryota, Metazoa, Mollusca, Gastropoda, Patellidae.